RNAcentral lists this non-coding RNA (45 nucleotides) under Schistosoma mattheei. The record is from RNAcentral. Lineage: Eukaryota; Metazoa; Platyhelminthes; Trematoda; Strigeidida; Schistosomatidae.
AUCUAAUUGAUGAGUCUCAAAUAGGACGAAAUGAAUAUCCUAGAU